Molecule: ribosomal RNA, 402 nt
Filed under: uncultured bacterium
Lineage: Bacteria
Description: bacterial SSU rRNA
Rfam family: Bacterial small subunit ribosomal RNA
Source: RNAcentral
UGGGGAAUAUCGGACAAUGGGCGAAAGCCUGAUCCAGCCAUGCCGCGUGAGUGAUGAAGGCCCUAGGGUUGUAAAGCUCUUUUGUGCGGGAAGAUAAUGACGGUACCAGAGGAAUAAGCACCGGCUAACUCCGUGCCAGCAGCCGCGGUAAUACGGAGGGUGCGAGCGUUAUCCGGAUUUACUGGGUUUAAAGGGUGCGUAGGUGGGCUUAUAAGUCAGUGGUGAAAUCUCCGAGCUUAACUUGGAAACUGCCGUUGAUACUAUAGGUCUUGAAUUAUCUGGAGGUAAGCGGAAUAUGUCAUGUAGCGGUGAAAUGCUUAGAUAUGACAUAGAACACCAAUUGCGAAGGCAGCUUACUACAUAUAAAUUGACGCUGAGGCACGAAAGCGUGGGGAUCAAACA